Molecule: long non-coding RNA, 567 nt
Organism: Alnus glutinosa
Lineage: Eukaryota; Viridiplantae; Streptophyta; Magnoliopsida; Fagales; Betulaceae
Exons: 3
Source: RefSeq, a predicted model, not a curated record
GUCUCGUAGAAGCAUAACUAUUUGGGCUUUCCACCAACGUUGCUACUCUGACGGUUCAAGCGCUGCUCCUCCACAGCUUGAGAAUUCUUAUUGAUUGUAAGAAUAAGAAUGAUAAUUAAGGACCAAUGACGGGCAUUCAUUUCCCUAACUGCAUGUUGGAGCCAUUGGGUGCUUCAUUAACUGUGAUUUUCUCUUUAUUUGAAGGAUUCCAAUGACGAACUGGUGUCCAAUCUCCAACUCCUUAGGCAGUUUUAUGGUAAGAUGACCAAUCCCAUAAAUUCCAGCUCGUCUCUUCCUGCCGCAAAGUGUUCCAACUCAGAAUCUACAUCAGCCAUUGUAUCCACAUAGAGACUCAAAUUCUAGUUUGCUAUACAAUUCCAAUAACAGAGGAAAAGCCUGCAGUUGCUCAAGAUGAUUACACCGCUUCUUAUACAGCCAAAGAAUAGGAUAUAGCUUAUAUUUUUUGUAAUUUGAAUUAUGCUCUGUUCAGUUGUAAUCUUUUAGCUUAGUAGAUACAUUUCAAUUGUACAUCAUUGAUCAUUAAUAGAAACUAUGCUCAGCAUACCA